Molecule: ribosomal RNA, 501 nt
Filed under: uncultured bacterium
Lineage: Bacteria
Description: partial 16S ribosomal RNA
Rfam family: Bacterial small subunit ribosomal RNA
Source: RNAcentral
AUUGAACGCUGGCGGCAGGCUUAACACAUGCAAGUCGAGCGGGGGAAGGUAGCUUGCUACCGGACCUAGUGGCGGACGGGUGAGUAAUGCUUAGGAAUCUGCCUAUUAGUGGGGGACAACAUCUCGAAAGGGAUGCUAAUACCGCAUACGUCCUACGGGAGAAAGCAGGGGAUCUUCGGACCUUGCGCUAAUAGAUGAGCCUAAGUCGGAUUAGCUAGUUGGUGGGGUAAGGGCCUACCAAGGCGACGAUCUGUAGCGGGUCUGAGAGGAUGAUCCGCCACACUGGGACUGAGACACGGCCCAGACUCCUACGGGAGGCAGCAGUGGGGAAUAUUGGACAAUGGGGGGAACCCUGAUCCAGCCAUGCCGCGUGUGUGAAGAAGGCCUUAUGGUUGUAAAGCACUUUAAGCGAGGAGGAGGCUACUUUAGUUAAUACCUAGAGAUAGUGGACGUUACUCGCAGAAUAAGCACCGGCUAACUCUGUGCCAGCAGCCGCAGUAA